AUUGAACGCUGGCGGCAGGCCUAACACAUGCAAGUCGAACGAGUGGCGGACGGGUGAGUAAUGUCUGAGAAACUGCCUGAUGGAGGGGGAUAACUACUGGAAACGGUAGCUAAUACCGCAUACCAUCAGAUGUGCCCAGAUGGGAUGAGCUGGUUGGUGGGGUAACGGCGCACCAAGGCGACGAUCCCUAGCUGGUCUGAGAGGAUGACCAUCCAAACGGGAACUGAGACACGGUCCAGACGCCUACGGGAGGAAGCAGUGGGGAAGAUGGCACAAUGGACGAAAGCCUGAUGCAGACAUGCCGCGUGUAUGAAGAAGGCCUUCGGAUUGGAAAGCACUGUCAGCGGGGAGGCGUUAUCCGAAGAAGAAGCACCGGCUAACUCCGUGCCAGCAGCCGCGGUAAUAC
Molecule: ribosomal RNA, 406 nt
Filed under: uncultured bacterium
Lineage: Bacteria
Description: partial 16S ribosomal RNA
Rfam family: Bacterial small subunit ribosomal RNA
Source: RNAcentral